RNAcentral lists this ribosomal RNA (253 nucleotides) under uncultured bacterium. RNAcentral describes it as "partial 16S ribosomal RNA". It matches the Rfam family "Bacterial small subunit ribosomal RNA", at positions 524 to 776 of the family's 1533-position model. The record is from RNAcentral.
UACGGAGGGUGCAAGCGUUGCUCGGAAUUAUUGGGCGUAAAGGGUAGGUAGGUGGUCUCAUUUGUCUGGGGUGAAAGCCUUGAGCUUAACUCAAGAAGUGCCCCAGAAACGGUGAGACUAGAGUCCUGGAGAGGGUCGUGGAAUUCCCGGUGUAGCGGUGAAAUGCGUAGAGAUCGGGAGGAACACCAGAGGCGAAGGCGGCGACCUGGACAGGUACUGACACUGAGGAGCGAAAGCCAGGGGAGCAAACGGG